AGUAGAGAGACGUGGAGUGCAUCCCUCUCCACAGAUGCAUUGGGAAUGCACGGAAGAACACAGUCAUUCCCACAGAGAACCAGCUGAACACCAGCAGACGGCCUCGGACACCGGAAAGGGCUGCGGAGAACCUGACAUAGCCGUGUGAGAAGAGUGAUCAGGUCCAGGUAUUAGAGUAUGCACAUUAAAAGCCAAGUUUCAAAGAGAUCUCAGUAAUGGAUGGAGGACACAGAUCAACAGGUUGAAUUUGCCCCUAAUUUGAAGAAAGUCUUUUUAGAUGGAAAUGAGAGAAAGAUCUCAAAGUCUUUGAACAACUAUCGGAAAUAUAGUAGAUAUCAUAGAUUGUAAGAACAACCUCUAUUCUAAUAGUUUUGAUGGGGAAAACACAAUCAAAAUGGAUAAACACAUCAAAGACGUAUUCCAAGUGAAGAAAGAAAUACAUGUGAAAAUAUGCAACUUAAAAUCAGAGAUAAGAUGGAUAUUAUAAAUCUCUGAAAACACAUAUAAGACUGAAAAAAUAUCAACUGUACUCCAACUAUUAAAAACAUCCAUUAUUAAUAACUGACAGCUCUACAUCUUCAAACUGUGACUAGGACAUUGCGCUCCUUGAUGGCAUAAACUUGGACUGUUUGUUACCAGCAUUUAAAACAGUACCUGUGAUUUCACUGAAUCCAUCUCUGAACUUAAUGGCAGCAAAUGACCUAGGUGAAACCAACUAAUAUACCCUAUCCGGCUGGAGCUGCCAAUAGCCAUAGGUAUCUCCUUUUCCCCACCCCCCCCCCCCAGGAAUUAUGUCCCAAAACGGAACCAUACAAAGGAGAGUAAUGCUAAGAAAUGGAGAGAGAAUAUCGUAAACUAUAAUUUGGGGGACUGGGUCUAAAGCCAUUUCAUAAUUUUAAAUUUCUGAGUUUUGUUAGCCAAUAAAUUCCCUUUG
Long non-coding RNA from Hippopotamus amphibius kiboko, 934 nucleotides. RefSeq lists it as uncharacterized. The record is from RefSeq and is a predicted model, not a curated record. The transcript is spliced from 3 exons. NCBI's taxonomy places the organism in Eukaryota, Metazoa, Chordata, Mammalia, Artiodactyla, Hippopotamidae.